UGGUAAUUAGUUUAAUUAAAACAAAUGAUUUCGACUCAUUAGAUUAUAAUAAAUAUUAUAACUACCAA
RNAcentral lists this transfer RNA (68 nucleotides) under Peromyscus polionotus (oldfield mouse). Its description in RNAcentral is "tRNA-Arg". It matches the Rfam family "tRNA". Rfam says of the family: Transfer RNA (tRNA) molecules are approximately 80 nucleotides in length. Their secondary structure includes four short double-helical elements and three loops (D, anti-codon, and T loops). Lineage: Eukaryota; Metazoa; Chordata; Mammalia; Rodentia; Cricetidae. The record is from RNAcentral.